AAGUGUCAAAAGAUCGGAUCCUAAUUCUAUUAUAGCAUUAAAUCAACGCUAUGCAUGAUUCUCAUUAAGCGGGAAAUCAAAAACCCAUAUUAGAACCAAUUUUAUUUUGGUAACACUUUGAACCGCCAAUACUUACCGAAAAAUUGGUUUUGACACAAACUUUUUUUGUUUUGGGGAAAUUUAUUUUUUUGCCAAGUCCUUUUUCGUCUCAACAAAAAAAUUCCACUCGAUGUAUUGAUCUCAAAGCCAGACUCCGGCGAGUUUCCCCACUUAUUCCGUUCUCAAUCCACCGAUGCUUCUAUCUAACAAUUACAAACCCUAUCUAUUCUCUCUGCUUAUGCGAAACCCUAGAUGUUGGAGGGGAAGAAGAACACUAAUGCAAUCCCGGUCUCAGAAUAUGAAAAGCUAAUCGUGGCAAGCGACGAGCCUGGAGACGGGUAUGGCUUUGCAGAUGACUAAUGAGGAGAAGCUUGAGAUCCCUAUAGUGGUAGCUCUCAGAGAAUACAAGAAACCUUAAUGGGUUUUUUCUAAAGCUUGCUCCUUUAUGUGAUCUUGACCAAGCUCUAAGGCUUGCUCAAGUAGCGGUAGGGAUUGUAACCUUGAUGUCGCUAAACUAAGGAAAGAUUUACUGCCCGUAUCCCAACUCCUCUUUUCUUUUAGACCCGCAUGAAUGUCUUUCACCCGGAAGGGCUAGUGCUAGUGCAAGUGCAAGCUCAAGCUCGUGUACUCAGUCAGAGAAUAGCUGUUGCAACCACAUGACUUGCCGGUAAGACAUACAUCCAUAGCUCAUGAUGAUUUCUCUGUGUUUACUGGUGUGGGAAACGAACCUGUGAAGGCAAUGACUUGUUCAGAGAAAUGAUUGCGAGUGGUGUCAUCAAGCUAGGUGAGAAGUAGGUUGUUUUCAAGUUCGUUGAUUUUCUUUUUCAUAAAUGACCGCAAUGCAGAAUUCUCCAAUAAGUGGAACUUUGAUCACUAAUCGAGAAGAAUGUCUUGAAAUGUCUGUUUCUAUAGCUUUUGUCAGCAACGAUUCCUGAGAAAAAGAU
Molecule: long non-coding RNA, 1043 nt
Organism: Brassica oleracea var. oleracea
Lineage: Eukaryota; Viridiplantae; Streptophyta; Magnoliopsida; Brassicales; Brassicaceae
Exons: 3
Source: RefSeq, a predicted model, not a curated record